RNAcentral lists this ribosomal RNA (496 nucleotides) under uncultured bacterium. Its description in RNAcentral is "partial 16S ribosomal RNA". It matches the Rfam family "Bacterial small subunit ribosomal RNA", at positions 28 to 506 of the family's 1533-position model. The record is from RNAcentral.
GAUGAACGCUGGCGGCGUGCCUAAUACAUGCAAGUCGAGCGAACAGACGAGGAGCUUGCUCCUCUGACGUUAGCGGCGGACGGGUGAGUAACACGUGGAUAACCUACCUAUAAGACUGGGAUAACUUCGGGAAACCGGAGCUAAUACCGGAUAAUAUAUUGAACCGCAUGGUUCAAUAGUGAAAGACGGUUUUGCUGUCACUUUUAGAUGGAUCCGCGCCGCAUUAGCUAGUUGGUAAGGUAACGGCUUACCAAGGAAACGAUGCGUAGCCGACCUGAGAGGGUGAUCGGCCACACUGGAACUGAGACACGGUCCAGACUCCUACGGGAGGCAGCAGUAGGGAAUCUUCCGCAAUGGGCGAAAGCUUGACGGAGCAACGCCGCGUGAGUGAUGAAGGUCUUCGGAUCGUAAAACUCUGUUAUUAGGGAAGAACAAAUGUGUAAGUAACUAUGCACGUCUUGACGGUACCUAAUCAGAAAGCCACGGCUAACUACGU